AACGCGAAGAACCUUACCCAGGCUCGAAAUGUAGAGAGCUAUGUUAGAAAUAACAUAUCCCGAAAGGGUCUCUAUAUAGGUGCUGCAUGGCUGUCGUCAGCUCGUGCCGUGAGGUGUUGGGUUAAGUCCCGCAACGAGCGCAACCCUUAUCGUUAGUUGCCAACGAGUCAAGUCGGGAACUCUAACGAGACUGCCUGGGUUAACCAGGAGGAAGGUGAGGAUGACGUCAAGUCCGCAUGGCCCUUAUGUCUGGGGCAACACACGUGCUACAAUGGCCGGUACAGAAGGCAGCGAAACCGCGAGGUGGAGCAAAUCCUAAAAAGCCGGUCUCAGUUCGGAUUGCAGUCUGCAACUCGACUGCAUGAAGUUGGAAUUGCUAGUAAUGGCGGGUCAGCAACACCGCCGUGAAUACGUUCCCGGGCCUUGUACACACCGCGCAUA
RNAcentral lists this ribosomal RNA (441 nucleotides) under uncultured bacterium. Its description in RNAcentral is "bacterial SSU rRNA". It matches the Rfam family "Bacterial small subunit ribosomal RNA", at positions 958 to 1398 of the family's 1533-position model. The record is from RNAcentral.